AAGGUCAACUGAAACGAUUUUCAAAGUUCGUUUUUCAAAUAAAUUCCGUAAGAAAAUACCAUUCCUUAAAUGUUUUCACAUAAGAAUAAUUUUUGUUUCGAUCAUCCAGGUAGAUACGACAUCGUUAAUUUCAACCCGGUAAAUUUUAUUUUAUGAGUUAUCUGCCCUUUAGGCGAACCUGAUAUUUCAAUAUGGCGGCACGAUAUGAAAAUCAUUCGGAAGAUUGUAUUCCUGAAAUAGAUAUAUCGCUUAGUGUUAAUGUGCAGCCCUGCCAAUACGAACCAGUUGUACAGCGAGACGCAUCCCCACUAGUGGAAAACGAUAGUUAUUCAGAAAACAGCAAGGUCGAUAUGCAAUGGUUUGUUAAUUUAGGCUAAUUAUUUAUAUGAGACUUUUAAUGAAAACGAAACGAUUACUCAAAGCUCAGAAGUGCAUCAGCAUGUAUUUCUAAGACUAGUUUUCUAUUAUUCUAACAGGUGAUCAUAUAGGCUAGUAAUGUCAUUGCAAUGCCCUCAAGAAGGGAGUCCAAAUGUUGCAGUGCAUAGGAUUGAAGAAGUGGGCGUGUCCUGCAUCACAGAUCACGAAGGUUUUGUUGUGGCAAACUGUCUCAACAGAUUGGUUAUAGGAACAGCUUAUUAUGAAUGCAUACAAAAUAUUGGUCCCUUGGAGGAGGGGGAAUUGAUUCACAAAUUUUACAGACAUCAUGCAUAUUGGAGAUCUGGUAGUAGCUUGGGAAAAACAAUUGGAAAGUUCUUCUAUCCUGCGUUGUGACUAUGAUAAGAAAUCAUUCCAUCACAACAGUACUGUGGAUUUAAAUACCCUUUGGUAUUAAUUUAAAUGUGUGAUCAAUUCUUAAUGCAUUUUUCAUAAGUGAUAUAAAUAAAUAUAAACAAGUAAACAUAGUUUGAUGUUCAGUUUUUAUAUUGUACAUAAUAUAUAUCACCAAUUUACAUAUAUGUAAUUUGGGUUAAAUCCAAAAGGUCUACAGGUCCCAGUCACCUGAGUUUGACACAUGUUGGUAGGAAUUUGUGAUCGGGGCAGGAGAAUUACCAACAACAUCCAUUAUAUUAACUUCCUGGAGUUUCUGUAGGAGCCAAACUGAUCACUUCCUGCAUCAAUUCAAAGGCUUAAUCUGAAAUAUAACAAAACGUUACAAUUCAAUAAACAUGUACUUAUUGUCUAGUAUUAUGAAUAUCCACUCACAUACAUACUAAUUAUGUGGGUCAAUUUAAAAAAUGUACAUAUUUGAGGUGAAGAAAAACAAAAAAAUUCAAAUGUCGCAGAAAAUUAAUUUUCAUAUUAAUGAAGCAUUGUAAAAUAAAUGUCUAGAUACUAUUAAAUACCAAUGUUCUUUAAUAUUUUCUAGAUUGAAAUUGCUAAUUUAUUCAAGUAUUUCAAAUAAUUUAAUGCAAAUUAGUAGAUAAAAAUGAAAAUAAGUAUGUCAAUGGUCAAAAUUGACCUACAUGUAAAAUUUGUACAUGUAUUCCGUUUCUUUUUCCAACAACUGGAUUUAUUUAAUGAUACAAGUUUAAUUUUCCAUCUCAUAAUUAUAAGAAUAUUAUCAAAACUAUGGUUGUAAGAAAUAUUCAUUUAUCAAUUUCACAAUUUAUCUAUUUAGUAAAUUGUAAAAUUGCUUCUUUUGGGGGGGGGUUCUGUAACUUGGGAAAUUUGCAUAGUAUCAGCAUGGAUAAAUAAAUAUAUGCUCUGCAUUUAAUUAAUCAAAUGUGGAUCAUGUGUACUUAGUCAUGUUGCAUGUAUAUCAUAAAGCUGAUUAAGUAUACUCGACUAGUGAUAUUUUUAUUGUACUACUACUUGUGUAGAUUUUUCUAUACC
Ostrea edulis (European flat oyster) is the source of this 1833-nucleotide long non-coding RNA. RefSeq lists it as uncharacterized. The record is from RefSeq and is a predicted model, not a curated record. Lineage: Eukaryota; Metazoa; Mollusca; Bivalvia; Ostreida; Ostreidae. The transcript is spliced from 2 exons.